Small nucleolar RNA from Tachyglossus aculeatus (Australian echidna), 138 nucleotides. Lineage: Eukaryota; Metazoa; Chordata; Mammalia; Monotremata; Tachyglossidae. The record is from RefSeq and is a predicted model, not a curated record.
CCCCUCUCAGGGUCGCAUCUGGAGAGUUUCCAGUGCUCUACCAGUCACGACUACAGGAGGGAGAGUCAAGGGGAGGCCUACCCAUUCCAUUCUUAGCUUGGCCAGUGGCUAGUGAGUGGAAGGCAAUCUGCUACAAGU